Molecule: ribosomal RNA, 492 nt
Filed under: uncultured bacterium
Lineage: Bacteria
Description: partial 16S ribosomal RNA
Rfam family: Bacterial small subunit ribosomal RNA
Source: RNAcentral
AGUGAACGCUGGCGGUAGGCCUAACACAUGCAAGUCGAACGGCAGCACAGUAAUAGCUUGCUCUUACGGGUGGCGAGUGGCGGACGGGUGAGGAAUACAUCGGAAUCUACUUUUUCGUGGGGGCUGACGUAGGGAAACUUACGCUAAUACCGCAUACGACCUACGGGUGAGAGCAGGGGAUCUUCGGACCUUGCGCGAUUGAAUGAGCCGAUGUCGGAUUAGCUAGUUGGCGGGGUAAAGGCCCACCAAGGCGACGAUCCGUAGCUGGUCUGAGAGGAUGAUCAGCCACACUGGAACUGAGACACGGUCCAGACUCCUACGGGAGGCAGCAGUGGGGAAUAUUGGACAAUGGGCGCAAGCCUGAUCCAGCCAUACCGCGUGGGUGAAGAAGGCCUUCGGGUUGUAAAGCCCUUUUGUUGGGAAAGAAAAGCAGCAGGUUAAUACCCCGCUGUUCUGACGGUACCCAAAGAAUAAGCACCGGCUAACUUCGUG